AACGAACGCUGGCGGCAUGCCUAACACAUGCAAGUCGAACGAGACCUUCGGGUCUAGUGGCGCACGGGUGCGUAACGCGUGGGAACCUGCCCUUAGGUUCGGAAUAACUCCCCGAAAGGGGUGCUAAUACCGGAUAAUGUCUUCGGACCAAAGAUUUAUCGCCUUUGGAUGGGCCCGCGUUGGAUUAGCUAGUUGGUAGGGUAAAAGCCUACCAAGGCGACGAUCCAUAGCUGGUCUGAGAGGAUGAUCAGCCACACUGGGACUGAGACACGGCCCAGACUCCUACGGGAGGCAGCAGUGGGGAAUAUUGGACAAUGGGCGAAAGCCUGAUCCAGCAAGGCCGCGUGAGUGAUGAAGGCCUUAGGGUUGUAAAGCUCUUUUACCCGGGAUGAUAAGGACAGGACCGGGAGAAUAAGCUCCGGCUAACUCCGU
Molecule: ribosomal RNA, 432 nt
Filed under: uncultured bacterium
Lineage: Bacteria
Description: partial 16S ribosomal RNA
Rfam family: Bacterial small subunit ribosomal RNA
Source: RNAcentral